RNAcentral lists this ribosomal RNA (518 nucleotides) under Vibrio parahaemolyticus. RNAcentral's name for it is "partial 16S ribosomal RNA". It matches the Rfam family "Bacterial small subunit ribosomal RNA", at positions 932 to 1448 of the family's 1533-position model. Lineage: Bacteria; Pseudomonadati; Pseudomonadota; Gammaproteobacteria; Vibrionales; Vibrionaceae. The record is from RNAcentral.
GCGGAGCAUCUUGUGGAAUACGAUGCUACACCAAGAACAUCACCUACUACUGACAUCCAGAGAACUACCCUGAGAUGGAUUAGUGCUGUCGUGAAGUACUAGACAGCAGCUGCAUCACUGUCGUCAGCUGGUGUUGUGAAAAAAUGGGUUAAGUCCUGCAACGAGCGCAACCAUCAUCCUCGUUGGCCAGCGAGUAAUGUCGUGAACUCCAGCGAGAAGACCGGUGAUAAACCGGAGGAAGGUGGGGAGGACGUCAAGUCAUCAUGGCCCUCACGAGUAGGGGGACACACCUGCUACAACAGCGCAUACAGAGGGGGGCCAACAAGCGAAAAUGAGGGAAUCCCAAAAAAAACGGCGUAGUCCUGAGGGGAGUAUUCAACUAGUCUCCUUGAAGUAGUAAUCGUUGGUAAUCAUGGAUCAUAAUACCACCGCGAAGACGACCCCCGCCCUCGUACACCCCACCCCCCACCCCACCGGAGGAUUGUGCAAAAAAAGAAGGAUGUAGACCUCCGCCGGAC